This 274-nucleotide ribosomal RNA is filed under the name uncultured bacterium. RNAcentral describes it as "partial 16S ribosomal RNA". It matches the Rfam family "Bacterial small subunit ribosomal RNA", at positions 523 to 796 of the family's 1533-position model. The record is from RNAcentral.
AUACGGAGGGUGCAAGCGUUACUCGGAAUCACUGGGCGUAAAGGAUGCGUAGGCUGUAUGUCAAGUUGGAAGUGAAAUCCUAUGGCUUAACCAUAGAACUGCUUCCAAAACUGGCAACCUAGAGUGAGGGAGAGGCAGAUGGAAUUAGUGGUGUAGGGGUAAAAUCCGUAGAUAUCACUAGGAAUACCGAUUGCGAAGGCGAUCUGCUAGAACUCUACUGACGCUAAGGCAUGAAAGCGUGGGGAGCAAACAGGAUUAGAUACCCCAGUAGUCC